GGUCGCAUGGCCCAAUGGUUAAGGCACCCGCCUACGGAGCGGGGGAUUCCAGGUUCGAAUCCUGGUGUGAUCG
RNAcentral lists this transfer RNA (73 nucleotides) under Adineta vaga. RNAcentral's name for it is "tRNA-Arg for anticodon ACG". It matches the Rfam family "tRNA". From Rfam's summary of the family: Transfer RNA (tRNA) molecules are approximately 80 nucleotides in length. Their secondary structure includes four short double-helical elements and three loops (D, anti-codon, and T loops). RNAcentral also lists the same sequence under 4 other names. The record is from RNAcentral. Lineage: Eukaryota; Metazoa; Rotifera; Eurotatoria; Adinetida; Adinetidae.